AAGUAACGAUUAGGAGGGCGAGAACCCCUCCCGCCGAACGACUAAGGUUUCCCAGGCAAUGCCAUUCAUCCUGGGGUCAGUCGGGUCCUAAGGCUAAGCCGAGCGGCGAGGCCGAUGGCAGACACGGUCAACAUUCCGUGACUACCGCCAUCAGUGAUGUCCUGACGGAGCAGUGACACCUCCGCGCCCUGACGGAAUAGGGCGUUGAAGGGCGUAGGCUAUGAUGAUGCCAGGCAAAUCCGGCAUCAGAGCUGAAACCUGAAAGUACGGGGUCCCCUUCGGGGGAACCUGAGAGCGAGGGUAACCAUACUCCCGAGAAAAUGGGCUAAACUCAUGUUGGCGGUACCCGUACCGCAAACCGACACAGGUAGUUGGGUAGAACAUACUAAGGCGUUGAGAGAUUCAUGGCUAAGGAACUAGGCAAACUGACCCCGUAACUUCGGGAUAAGGGGUCCUCACCUCCGGGUGAGGCGCAGAGAAUAGGUCCAGGCAACUGUUUAACAAAAACACAGGGCUGUGCGAACUCGAAAGAUGAAGUAUACAGCCUGACACCUGCCCGGUGCCGGAAGGUUAAGAGGAGAUGUCACCGCAAGGGAAGCAUUGAAUUGAAGCCCCGGUAAACGGCGGCCGUAACAAUAACGGUCCUAAGGUAGCGAAAUUCCUUGUCGGGUAAGUUCCGACCUGCACGAAUGGUGUAAUGAUCCGGACGCUGUCUCGGCCAUGAGCUCAGUGAAACUGUAGUAUCGGUGAAGAUGCCGAUUACCCGCGAUGGGACGAAAAGACCCCGUGAACCUUUACUACAGCUUAGCAUUGACCUUGGUCAUCCGAUGUGUAGGAUAGGCCGGAGGCUUCGAAGCGGCGUCGCCAGGCGUUGUGGAGCCAUCCUUGAAAUACGGCCCUUUGGCUGUCUGAGGUCUAACGCGGAUAGUCGCGGACACUGCUUGGUGGGUGGUUUGACUGGGGUGGUCGCCUCCAAAAGCGUAACGGAGGCUUCCAAAGGUGCCCUCGGGCCGUUUGGUAAGCGGCCUUCAAGAGUGCAAUGGCAAAAGGGCGCUUGACUGGAGGGAGACAUCCCGAGCAGGCAGGAAACUGGGGCAUAGUGAUCCGGCGGAUGUGUAUGGAAACUCCGUCGCUCAAAGGAUAAAAGGUACUCCCGGGAUAACAGGCUGAUCCCCCCCAAGAGCUCAUAUCGACGGGGUGGUUUGGCACCUCGAUGUCGGCUCGUCACAUCCUGGGGCUGGAGAAGGUCCCAAGGGUUGGGCUGUUCGCCCAUUAAAGUGGCACGCGAGCUGGGUUCAGAACGUCGUGAGACAGUUCGGUCUCUAUCUAUCGUGGGCGCAGGAGUUUUGAGUGGUGCUGUCACUAGUACGAGAGGACCGUGACGGACAGACCUCCGGUGUACCGGUUGUGCCGCCAGGCGCACCGCCGGGUAUCCGCGUCUGGAUCGGAUAAGCGCUGAAAGCAUCUAAGUGCGAAGCUUUCCACGAGAUUAGAACUCCAUUGAGGGUCGUCGCAGACGACGACGUUGAUAGGGCGCAGGUGUAAAGACGGCGACGUCAAAGCCGAGCGCUACUAAUUGCCC
RNAcentral lists this ribosomal RNA (1582 nucleotides) under metagenome. Its description in RNAcentral is "bacterial LSU rRNA". It matches the Rfam family "Bacterial large subunit ribosomal RNA", at positions 1304 to 2910 of the family's 2925-position model. The record is from RNAcentral.